AUUGAACGCUGGCGGCAUGCCUUACACAUGCAAGUCGAACGGCAGCACGGGUGCUUGCACCUGGUGGCGAGUGGCGAACGGGUGAGUAAUACAUCGGAACGUACCUUAUCGUGGGGGAUAACGCAGCGAAAGCUGUGCUAAUACCGCAUACGCCCUGAGGGGGAAAGCGGGGGAUCGCAAGACCUCGCGCGAUUAGAGCGGCCGAUGCCUGAUUAGCUAGUUGGUGGGGUAAAAGCCCACCAAGGCGACGAUCAGUAGCUGGUCUGAGAGGACGAUCAGCCACACUGGGACUGAGACACGGCCCAGACUCCUACGGGAGGCAGCAGUGGGGAAUGUUGGACAAUGGGGGCAACCCUGAUCCAGCAAUGCCGCGUGAGUGAAGAAGGCCUUCGGGUUGUAAAGCUCUUUUGUCAGGGAAGAAACACCGGCUCUAACACAGUCCGGGAAUGACGGUACCUGAAGAAUAAGCACCGGCUAACUACGUGCCAGCAGCCGCCGCGG
Molecule: ribosomal RNA, 501 nt
Filed under: uncultured bacterium
Lineage: Bacteria
Description: partial 16S ribosomal RNA
Rfam family: Bacterial small subunit ribosomal RNA
Source: RNAcentral